Molecule: ribosomal RNA, 453 nt
Filed under: uncultured bacterium
Lineage: Bacteria
Description: partial 16S ribosomal RNA
Rfam family: Bacterial small subunit ribosomal RNA
Source: RNAcentral
CUACGGGAGGCUGCAGUCGAGAAUCUUCGACAAUGGGAGAAACCCUGAUCGAGCGACGCCGCGUGCGGGAAGAAGGCCUUCGGGUUGUAAACCGCUUUUCUCCGUGAUGAAGUCGCCUUUGGCGACUGACAGUAGCGGAGGAAUAAGAGGUUGCUAACUCUGUGCCAGCAGCAGCGGUAAUACAGAGACCUCAAGCGUUAUCCGGAUUUAUUGGGCGUAAAGGGUCCGUAGGCGGCCAGGUAAGUCUUUGGUUAAAUUUCCAGGGCUCAACCUUGGGAGAGCUGAAGAUACUGUUUGGCUUGAGGGCGCUAGGGGCUGAUGGAACCGUCGGUGUAGGGGUGAAAGCCGUUGAUAUCGACGGGAACACCAAAAGCGAAGGCAUUCAGCUGGGGCGACCCUGACGCUGAGGGACGAAAGCGUGGGGAGCAAAAAGGAUUAGAUACCCGAGUAGUC